AUAAACGCUGGCGGCGUGCAUGAGACAUGCAAGUCGAACGAAGGAUCGGGCUUGCUCGAUCCUUAGUGGCGGACGGCUGAGUAACGCGUAGGUGACCUACCCCGAAGUGGGGAAUAACUGCCCGAAAGGGUGGCUAAUACCGCAUGUGGUCGCACGUUCAUUCGUGCGAGUAAAGCCGCAAGGCGCUUCGGGAGGGGCCUGCGUCCGAUUAGCUCGUUGGUGGGGUAAUGGCUUACCAAGGCGACGACCGGUAGGUGGUCUGAGAGGACGAUCACCCAGACUGGGACUGAGACACGGCCCAGACUCCUACGGGAGGCAGCAGUCGGGAAUUUUGCUCAAUGGGGGAAACCCUGAAGCAGCAACGCCGCGUGAGGGAUGAAGGCCUUCGGGUUGUAAACCUCUUUUGUCAGGGACGAUGAUGACGGUACCUGGCGAAUAAGCCACGGCUAACUACGUG
Molecule: ribosomal RNA, 457 nt
Filed under: uncultured bacterium
Lineage: Bacteria
Description: partial 16S ribosomal RNA
Rfam family: Bacterial small subunit ribosomal RNA
Source: RNAcentral